GUUACACAGAAGAAGGAUUUGGUAUAAAACUGAAAAUGUUUUAAUUGUAAAUUAGAAAAACCUAAGAAAUGAGAAAAGAACAUUUAGAGUCAGAAAACAUCUGAAUGAAUAUUAAAAGUUCAUAUUCUUUGAAUCACUGAAUGACUAAAAUGUGAUCCCUCCACUUGGACCCACACAGUUUAAAAAGUUUACAUCUCUGAGCUUUGAAAGACAAGAUGUUGGAAAAAGAACAACGAUGGCGACGUUUUGAGGGUAAAAUGAUGGCUUUAACACUGUGGACACAGCAGCAGUUGAAAGAGAAGUGUUUAAGAUGAAUUUUGGCAGAGUGGCAGAGAGAGCUCGUUAAGCAGGCAGGUGUGAGCCUGGUUGCUAUAGUGACCGCACCCAAUGGCUCCAUACACACGUACACAGACAUGCGCCUCACUUUUGCUGCUUAAAAUGAACAGAAAAGUCAGGCCCAAACAAAUUCUUCCCAAAUGAAAAGUACAUGUCGUAUUGACAAAAUUCUUUCACCGUGAGCGACAGCCAUGUCUAGUCUACCUAAUUCUCAGUUUUCAUGCCUGUGGAGUUUAUU
Long non-coding RNA from Astatotilapia calliptera (eastern happy), 574 nucleotides. NCBI's taxonomy places the organism in Eukaryota, Metazoa, Chordata, Actinopteri, Cichliformes, Cichlidae. The record is from Ensembl.